AUCCCAUGGUGAGGGCAUCUACAUAGUAACUCAUUAAAUCUUUCUGGCACUUCAUCUAGGGACUCAUCAUCUAAUUGCUAGAAAUUGGUUAUCUUAUUCUGCAAGUU
Molecule: small nucleolar RNA, 107 nt
Filed under: Gossypium barbadense (sea-island cotton)
Lineage: Eukaryota; Viridiplantae; Streptophyta; Magnoliopsida; Malvales; Malvaceae
Also listed under: 2 other names
Description: Plant small nucleolar RNA R71
Rfam family: Plant small nucleolar RNA R71
About the family: R71 is a member of the C/D box family of snoRNAs containing the C (UGAUGA) and D (CUGA) box motifs. Multiple nearly identical copies of this snoRNA have been identified in Arabidopsis, and it is thought to function as a 2'-O-ribose methylation guide for 18S ribosomal RNA.
Source: Rfam by way of RNAcentral